UACGUAGGUGGCAAGCGUUACUCGGAAUCACUAGGCGUAAAGCGCAGGUAGGAGGUUUGGUAAGUCUGUUGUGAAAUCCCUCGGCUCAACCAAGGAAGUGCAUCCGAAACUGCUGAGCUUGAGUACUUAAGAGGAUCGCGGAAUUCCCGGUGUAGAGGUGAAAUUCGUAGAUAUCGGGAGGAACACCAGUGGCGAAGGCGGCGAUCUGGGAAGAUACUGACGCUGAGGUGCGAAAGCGUGGGGAGCAAACAGG
RNAcentral lists this ribosomal RNA (253 nucleotides) under uncultured bacterium. RNAcentral's name for it is "partial 16S ribosomal RNA". It matches the Rfam family "Bacterial small subunit ribosomal RNA", at positions 524 to 776 of the family's 1533-position model. The record is from RNAcentral.